GGGGAUGCGGCUGUAGCUCAGUGAUAGAGUGUCUGCUUUUCAUGCAAAAGGUCCCAGGUUCAAUCCCUGGCAUCUCCA
Molecule: non-coding RNA, 78 nt
Organism: Hemicordylus capensis (graceful crag lizard)
Lineage: Eukaryota; Metazoa; Chordata; Lepidosauria; Squamata; Cordylidae
Source: the annotation of a RefSeq genome assembly